UACGAAGGGGGCUAGCGUUGCUCGGAAUCACUGGGCGUAAAGGGUGCGUAGGCGGGUCUUUAAGUCAGGGGUGAAAUCCUGGAGCUCAACUCCAGAACUGCCUUUGAUACUGAAGAUCUUGAGUUCGGGAGAGGUGAGUGGAACUGCGAGUGUAGAGGUGAAAUUCGUAGAUAUUCGCAAGAACACCAGUGGCGAAGGCGGCUUCCUGGCCUGUUCUUGACGCUGAGGCGCGAAAGCUAGGGGAGCAAACGGG
This 253-nucleotide ribosomal RNA is filed under the name uncultured bacterium. RNAcentral describes it as "partial 16S ribosomal RNA". It matches the Rfam family "Bacterial small subunit ribosomal RNA", at positions 524 to 776 of the family's 1533-position model. The record is from RNAcentral.